Camelus dromedarius (Arabian camel) is the source of this 1522-nucleotide long non-coding RNA. RefSeq lists it as uncharacterized. NCBI's taxonomy places the organism in Eukaryota, Metazoa, Chordata, Mammalia, Artiodactyla, Camelidae. The transcript has 9 exons. The record is from RefSeq and is a predicted model, not a curated record.
GUUGGAAUUUUUGCCGAUUUUUCUUCCUCUCUUUCACCAACUUCCAGUGCUGUGUUCUCCCCAGCUCUGGGCUGUCAAGAAGGCCAGGCACUGUGCUAGACCCCCGAGGUGAAGAAAUGGAGGGAAGCAGCCUUGCCCUGCAGAACGUCACCAACAAAGAGAUGAGGACCACACGCUCGUGUUCAAUACGCAAUUGGAGGUGGCAGAGAGGUGACAUGCUGGCUUUCUCCGGGAAGAGAGCAGAUGCCCAGCUCAGGAUUGAAUGACAAGCUGCUGAGGCUCACUGCCCCCCAACGAUGGGCAGUGAGUCAGUGGGUCCAUGAGGCAGGGCAUGGUCCAGCCCUGGCCCCUCAGGAUGGCAGCCCUGGCCCCUCGGGAUGGCAGCCCUGCCCCCUCAGGAUGGCAGCCCUGCCCAGAGGAGCAUGAGGCCCUCCUAGGCGGACCUCACAGCAAACCAGGAUUUGUUGCCUUCUGGAGGAAUGAAUGUUUUUCUGUGGAAUCAGCCUGGCCCAGACACGGAUGCAGUGUCCUCGGCUCCAGUGUUGCCUGGAUCUGACUUCCUGGAACUGAAAACCGCCUCUUAUCCCCUGGGCCGAUGGCAACAACUGAGGACUGAGCUGUGUGCUCUGCAGCCCUGGUUGGCUUGCUCAAGUCAGUGUCCAAAUUCUUUCCUGCACUUUCAAGGGGCGAUGGGUUGGUAGAAGUUGAGAGAACUUUGAGAGUUCAGUGACUGAUCCAAGAUCGGGUAAGAAGCAGGACCCAGGAUUCCAACCCAGGACUGUGGUGCGGAUCAAAGGAGAUAAUGUAUGCUCAGGCAUGCUGUGGACGCGACGUGCUGUGUACAGGAGGUACAGCAUUAAUGAGCCUCUGCUGCUUUGAGGGAACCUGCACUCAAACUUUAUGCUUUUCAUUUUCAUACCACCUGGGAGGGAGGGGAGACUAACAAGGUUCCUGCCCCCUGAGGCUCAGCAUGGGGAGGGACUGGCCCUGGGCCCCGCCGUGGGGUGAAGGCGAAGGCAGGGGCCUGGGAGGGGGUCCCCAGCCUAGUGGUCUUUCCGUGACUCCCUUCUGUGAGUCUCCACAUGGGUCUGUUUGUGGAUAUAUUACCCUAUAUACACAUCUUUAUAGUAUAUGCAUGUUUUAAACUUCAUUUUUAUUUUUCGUGUCUCAGAGUUGCUCUGAAGCCGCAUGCUGGGCACCUAGCAGGCCAGUCUGGGAGGGUAGGAAGGCAGCUGUCUGUGUCUUCCCCAUCAGGGUCACGCUAGAGGCCUUUCUGGCUUCUGGGGAACAGUUUGAACGUCAAGGAUCUCAGGGCACAGACUCCCCCAGAAGGCAGCCCCGUUUCCUGAACUGGACUUCAGUUUUCCCGAGUGCGCCCCUUGCCGGAUUUCUGUUUUCCAGGGCACUUGCUUAAGCUUUGAUGCCAGGUCCCCAAAAAGGAGUAGAUCCCAGCAGUUUCCUGCCCAGUGCCCCUCCUUCCCGACUCCCUUGGCCUGAGUGUGGAGAUCAUUCAUUUCUCUAG